Clupea harengus (Atlantic herring) is the source of this 944-nucleotide long non-coding RNA. The record is from Ensembl. NCBI's taxonomy places the organism in Eukaryota, Metazoa, Chordata, Actinopteri, Clupeiformes, Clupeidae.
UUAGUCUGCAUAUGUGUAAGAUCUACAUGCGUAAGUGAAGGAACCUCUUGUCUAUGUUUGGGUGAGCUCAGUGGUGAUAGGGAGGGUCUAACUGUGCCUUUUUCGACCUUGUGUAGAACUGACAUCCUUUGGCAGACAGGAAGCUCAGUUAGAGAUCUUAAUCAAGAGUGGCUAUUAUGACUGAGAUGUUAAACAUGUAUGGCGUCAGGAGUAGAUCAAUCUUAAGUAUAUAAACCCUGUGCAAUGUAAGUAAAAUUCCUUCACUUUCAUCCUUGUGCUGUCAGUGAGCUCGAUUGCAAUUGUUAUGGAAUUAAUAUACUGAUCUACAACUCCGAGUCCUGAGAUAACUUGAGAGUGAAUUUUUGUAGAUCUUACACAUAUGCAGCUGCACCUGAACUGGUAAGUGUUUGGCAACAUUGCGCAAUAGUGAAUUUCAGACACUGAAGGCCUGUUAGAACUUGAGCUCACUUCCCAUGCCAGUUUACUGAAAUGCACCACCCCUUCUACGCACCCUUUUAAGAACUAUUUAUAUAGCACCUGUCUUCUAGAUUCACAUUUAUACCAAAGAGCAUAUUGAGCAAAGACGCCAUGUCGAAGGUAAGCAAUUCAAUUUGAAAACUCACCUGUUAUUAUUGUUAGAAGUAUUAGUACUAGUAUUUAUUUAUUUAUUUAUUUAUUUUCAGCUUUGCCACUUAUUUUUAUUUAUAAAAUUCAAUGCAGUUAGCCAGGAGGAAAAAUGGCCUGCCGGACAUGUCAUUGGUUUGCUUUAUCGUGUCAAAUAUUUUCUUUAUACCCCACCUUUUAGGGCAAAGCUGUACCCUACUGGAACCUGUCGGUUACUGUCCUGCAUGCAAAACUGAAAUGGUCACAUGACUACUUUUCGGAGUCGGACUGCUACGUGAUUCUGAGGCUCCCCACGUCCUCUGCUCGCUCUCACCGCACCC